CUUCAGCGACCCGAGCCACAGCGGCCGCUCGGGCGGCCGGUCCCGGCCGUAGGUGGCCAGCAGCGCCUGCGCCUC
Streptomyces cyaneogriseus subsp. noncyanogenus is the source of this 75-nucleotide non-coding RNA. It matches the Rfam family "ASpks TB sRNA". The record is from Rfam. NCBI's taxonomy places the organism in Bacteria, Bacillati, Actinomycetota, Actinomycetes, Kitasatosporales, Streptomycetaceae.